RNAcentral lists this long non-coding RNA (1477 nucleotides) under Homo sapiens (human). Its description in RNAcentral is "non-protein coding lnc-ICE2-2:2". Lineage: Eukaryota; Metazoa; Chordata; Mammalia; Primates; Hominidae. The record is from RNAcentral.
GAGGUGAAGGAACUAGUUGAAUUUCUAGGAGUUCUAAUUCUUCAAGAUCUUACAAUCUUAAAGUGGUUAAUAUGAAAACAUUUACACUUCCGCUUCUGGCAAGCCUAAAUAAUUUGCCUGUGAUUUUUAAUAAAAACCGGAUCCUUCCCUCAUCUCUCAUCCAAAGCUUCAUCCUCUUAUUAAUUCUAAGGACACUUUUUUGAAAUGGAAAACAGCACAGAGGUGGAGCAGAAAUACAGGCUGUGGGCUAAUUCUCUUAACAGUCCUCACCCACUAAAAUGAUCUGUGGACCAAGGAAGUUUUGGUGUCAUGACACCAUGUUCCUGUGACUAUAAAUAUGUUGUCUUUUUAGUGUUCUGGGCUUGCUAUAGAGGGAUGUAAAUGCAUUUUCAAGGUUUAAUGUUCUAAGUUAUUUCCAAUCUUUUACCAUGAAUCCAGUUUAUUUAGUUGGGGAAUAUUUCUUGAGUGACAUCUAUUCAAUGAGCAGUAGCAGAUCUUCAGAAUGCCAUCGGAGCUCAUGGAAAGAAAUGAUGGGUUCCUUUGCCUGGUAAGCUUUUAUGACUUAAUCUGGAUUCUUGUUAUUUUGACCCAUUUCUGCACAUCUUACUUCAUGCAGCUGGGUUUUGUGACCGCACAGUUUUGGGGGGGGGGGGUCAUGGAAAUUGUGCAGGUGGAAUUAGUAAUCAAUGGUUGUUAAGAAUUUGUGGGGUUAUGUGAAAUUUGGUGUGAAGUUAAGACAGCUGCAAAGUGGAGUGGUUUUCUCGUAGGCUUAGGUGUGAGAAUGUUGGGGGUAAUUGGUUAAAGUAAGAUUGUUUCAUAAAAUGCAGUAAGUGUAAUUCUGAUGUUUUCGGUUGAGCAGAAACUAGAUCACCAGAUUUGGUAUGGUUUUAAAGAUGUUCUUUUCUGUUGUGAAAAACAGACCUUGAGCAAUGAAAGCAAAGAGUUGACCCCAGUGCUCUCAGCUGUAAGGAGGAUUUCACCUAAAUGUAGCGUAAUUGUUCCUGUUAAGGAGAAAAAAAGGAAUUGGUAUCUAGAGUGAGGUUGAUCGCAAGAAAAUACGUAUGCAGUUCUGUGAGUCAGAUGACUUUUUUUGUCUAGUAUUAUCCAGAAUUAUGUAAGGGACACCAUUGUUGGAAACAACGUUAUUAGGAAUUUCCCUUGAGCAUAGUCUAAUCACUUAGCAAAAUAAAUGGGUUCUCUUUCCUGCUGAUAUGAAAUGACAUUUAACCCACCCCGAGAGAUUCUAGAGAAAGAGGACUUUUGUUAAAUGUUACUGAUCCCAGGGUCCUAGAAAAUCUUCAAGGACUUUAUAUUUUAAAAUGUAGUUAAUUCUAGAAUCUUAGAGGGACCUUACGCCAACUGAGAACCAUUGGUUAAAUAGCCAAUUACCUUUAUCUUAGCCCUUGAUAUCACAUAACCCCAUAAAUCCUUAACAACAAAUACGUUCUGUUGUUUACAAAGGCAAAAAAAAAAAAAA